AAUUUUGGACAAUGGGGGAAACCCUGAUCCAGCCAGCCCGCGUGUAUUAUGAAGGCCUUCGGGUUGUAAAGUACUUUUGGCAGAGAAGAAAAUGUAGCGCCUAAUACGAGAUACUGAUGACGGUAUCUGCAGAAUAAGCACCGGCGAACUAAGUGCCAGCAGCCGCGGUAAUGCGUAGGGUGCAAGCGUUAAUGGGAUUUACUGGGCGUAAAGCGUGUGUAGGCGGUUCGGAAAGAAAGAUGUGAAAUCCCAGGGCUCAACCUUGGAACUGCAUUUUUAACUGCCGAGCUAGAGUAUGUCAGAGGGGGGUAGAAUUCCACGUGUAGCAGUGACAUGCGUAGAUAUGUGGAGGAAUACCGAUGGCGAAGGCAGCCCCCUGGGAAUACUGACGCUCAGACACGAAAGCGUGGGGAGCAA
RNAcentral lists this ribosomal RNA (417 nucleotides) under uncultured bacterium. RNAcentral describes it as "partial 16S ribosomal RNA". It matches the Rfam family "Bacterial small subunit ribosomal RNA", at positions 360 to 771 of the family's 1533-position model. The record is from RNAcentral.